RNAcentral lists this ribosomal RNA (988 nucleotides) under Clostridium ljungdahlii. RNAcentral describes it as "bacterial SSU rRNA". It matches the Rfam family "Bacterial small subunit ribosomal RNA", at positions 8 to 1012 of the family's 1533-position model. RNAcentral also lists the same sequence under 2 other names. Lineage: Bacteria; Bacillati; Bacillota; Clostridia; Eubacteriales; Clostridiaceae. The record is from RNAcentral.
AGAGUUUGAUCCUGGCUCAGGACGAACGCUGGCGGCGUGCUUAACACAUGCAAGUCGAGCGAUGAAGCUCCUUCGGGAGUGGAUUAGCGGCGGACGGGUGAGUAACACGUGGGUAACCUACCUCAAAGAGGGGGAUAGCCUCCCGAAAGGGAGAUUAAUACCGCAUAAUAAUCGGUUUUCACAUGGAGACUGAUUUAAAGGAGUAAUCCGCUUUGAGAUGGACCCGCGGCGCAUUAGCUAGUUGGUAGGGUAACGGCCUACCAAGGCGACGAUGCGUAGCCGACCUGAGAGGGUGAUCGGCCACAUUGGAACUGAGAGACGGUCCAGACUCCUACGGGAGGCAGCAGUGGGGAAUAUUGCACAAUGGGCGAAAGCCUGAUGCAGCAACGCCGCGUGAGUGAAGAAGGUUUUCGGAUUGUAAAGCUCUGUCUUUGGGGACGAUAAUGACGGUACCCAAGGAGGAAGCCACGGCUAACUACGUGCCAGCAGCCGCGGUAAUACGUAGGUGGCGAGCGUUGUCCGGAAUUACUGGGCGUAAAGAGUGCGUAGGCGGAUAUUUAAGUGAGAUGUGAAAUACCCGGGCUUAACCCGGGCACUGCAUUUCAAACUGGAUAUCUAGAGUGCGGGAGAGGAGAAUGGAAUUCCUAGUGUAGCGGUGAAAUGCGUAGAGAUUAGGAAGAACACCAGUGGCGAAGGCGAUUCUCUGGACCGUAACUGACGCUGAGGCACGAAAGCGUGGGUAGCAAACAGGAUUAGAUACCCUGGUAGUCCACGCCGUAAACGAUGAGUACUAGGUGUAGGAGGUAUCGACCCCUUCUGUGCCGCAGUAAACACAAUAAGUACUCCGCCUGGGAAGUACGAUCGCAAGAUUAAAACUCAAAGGAAUUGACGGGGGCCCGCACAAGCAGCGGAGCAUGUGGUUUAAUUCGAAGCAACGCGAAGAACCUUACCUGGACUUGACAUACCCUGAAUAUCUUAGAGAUAAGAG